CAGUAGCCACGGGAAAACGUAGGGUGCAAGCGUUAAUCGGAAUUACUGGGCGUAAUGCGUGCGCAGGCGGUUCGUUAAGACAGAUGUGAAAUCCCCGGGCUUAACCUGGGUACUGCAUUUGUGACUGGCGGGCUAGAGUAUGGCAGAGGGGGGUGGAAUUCCACGUGUAGCAGUGAAAUGCGUAGAGAUCGGAAAGAACACCAACGGCGAAAGCACUCUGCUGGGCCGACACUGACACUGAGAGACGAAAGCUAGGGGAGCAAAUGGGAUUAGAUACCCCGGUAGUCCCUGUCUCUUAUAA
This 301-nucleotide ribosomal RNA is filed under the name uncultured bacterium. RNAcentral describes it as "partial 16S ribosomal RNA". It matches the Rfam family "Bacterial small subunit ribosomal RNA", at positions 509 to 809 of the family's 1533-position model. The record is from RNAcentral.